This is an RNA transcript of Myxocyprinus asiaticus (Chinese sucker), 5831 nucleotides long. It is a transcript of the gene named tudor and KH domain-containing protein-like, with no coding region annotated. The record is from RefSeq and is a predicted model, not a curated record. The transcript has 15 exons. Lineage: Eukaryota; Metazoa; Chordata; Actinopteri; Cypriniformes; Catostomidae.
AGUGGUUGAUAUGCGGGAUGGUGGCCACUCAUUGUUGAGACGUUAACUGUGCGUACUGCGUACCGUGUGGAGUAGCCGCACGCUGACUGGUGUCAAGAGGAUCAUUUGAAGGACUCGCUUCGUGGAAAGGCAUAACGGGUGGUUUUAGGGUCCAAGAUGGACAUGGACAUCCCUAAACCCUGUGUGUUCCUGAACUACAACCCCACUGCCCUGUUUUCACAGUGGAGUGUACCAAUUGGUGCGACCCAAGUGAUGGCCGUGGUGCGAGAUGGCCCGUGGGAGAGCCUGAGCUCGGGGAAGAAAGUAGCCUUGGCUGCAGGCCUCACCGUAGGGGCUACAGUGGGGUAUCUUGUUUACCGACACAUUCGAAGUAGCAGUGUGCAAUGCGAAAGUAAAGAGGAGUCCAGAAUAUCUAUUCCACUUGACGUGUACCGAUCUAUUGCAAGAUAUAAGAGCGCCUUUCUAGACAUAGUGAAUCAGAAGUCUGGCGCCCAAAUAAAUGUGUUGCCGGACACUGAAGAGCAGAGCUUGGUGAAUUUCCUCAUCCGGGGUUCACCUGAGCAGAUUCUUGUGGCACAGUGUGCUUUGGAGAAACUGGCCACCGACUCUGAAGUCAUCACCGAUGUCAUUGAAGUGCCUCAGACGGCAUUUGGACGAAUUAUAGGCCGUGGUGGUGGGACCUUGAAGUUCAUAAACAGAGUCUCGGGGGCCAGGGUGAACUGCCUCAGAGAUCGUGGACGCGGCUUAGAGGAGAAGGGCAAGAUCACAAUUACUGGCACACGCAAGGAAGUUCAAAGUGCGAAGGAGAUGAUCAUGGAGAAGGCCAUAGAGAAUGAAACUGUACGAAAGCGGAUUAGUCAGUCCUCUGCUCUGCGUCAGAAGAGGAAACCACCAGAAGUGGAGCAAUUUAACAAAGCUACAGGACUAGAGAAUGAAUUAUUAAAAACUAAUGGCAAAGAUUUUCUUUCACCACUGACUGAGCUUCAACAAGAGGGACUUGUUACAGUGAAUGGCUUUGCAGACAGCACUACAGCUGAAAAUUCCCUCAGAUCAGAGGAAGAGGAGGAGAUUCUUUCUCCAUUGUCACCUUUGGAGAUCUCAAAAUUUGAAAUUCCUAGUCCAGACCUGAGCUUCCAGCCCGAUGAGCAUCUGGAGGUGUAUGUGUCUGCUGCUGAGAAUCCUCAGCACUUUUGGAUCCAGAUCCUGGGAGUACGAUCUCUACAGCUGGAUAAACUGACUGCUGAAAUGAGUCGUUUCUACAACAGUGACGCCUCGCAAGAGCACAGAGUGGAGACCAUUAUUGUUGGAGAUAUAGUGGCUGCUCCUUACAGGGACCAUGGCACAUGGAAUCGUGCUCGAGUGUUAGGAAUUCUGGAUUCUAGACUGGUGGAUUUGUAUUACGUGGACUUUGGAGACAAUGGGGAGCUUCCACGGGAACACUUACGAAGCAUGAGAAGUGACUUCCUGAGCCUACCCUUCCAAGCCAUUGAGUGCAGCUUAGCAGGGGUCUGUCCUGCAGGAGAGGUUUGGGCUGAGGCAGCCCUGGAUGACUUUGAACGCAUGACGUACUGUGCCGAAUGGAAACCUUUGCUGGCCAAACUGUACAGCUAUUCUCAUUCUGAGAUCUCAUCCUGGCCCAGUGUGAAACUCUAUGACAACAACCAGGGAAAGGCUGUGGAUCUGGGUAAGGAGUUGAUUCGUCUUGGUCAUGCCGUGAGCUGUGAGGAUGAAGGGAUCGGGCUUAGGGGAGAAUGGGAUGAGUCCAGAUCACUGCAGAAGAUGCUGGAUGACAUGACUGGAGCAACCUCAGAACUCAGUAUGUCCUGCAUCAGUUUGUCAGGUUCAACAAAUACAUGGCUAAGAAAGCAGUUGGAAUGGUCAUCCUGUCUCACCAGCUCUUCAGAGGUGGAGCGUGCUGACGUGGACCAGAGCCCUUGUUUUGGACUCCUGUCUUCCAUUUCCCAGAUCCACUCUACUCCAUCUCAGAACCUCAGUGAGCUGGUCAGCCACAUGCUCGAGUCUUCUUCCUCAAUGCUAGACCUUCCGAAUCAGCCAGUUUCUGACAAUACGGUCCAAUCUAACAACUUAACCCCAGUGUCACCAUUACCCAUGAUGUCAGUUCAGGAAAUCACAUCUUCAUUUUCAUCUCCAUCCUGUAUGGAGGCUGUGACAUCAGCCAUGGAUUCCUUCGCUCUGAGUGAUGACGUAUUCGUAGGCUCUCAUUGUAACAGCAAAAAGCAUAAGGUAACGUCUACUGAAUCCAAAGACACUGACUCGUCCUCUAGAGUAGACAGCAGUUGCAGUGAGAGUUUAGAAAGCAGCAACAGCAGUGAUGGAAUCAAAGGGGUGUGGUAUUAUGUCACUUCCUCUAAGGACUCUUCCGAGGCGUCUUUAAGCACCACCAUGCCUCAGUCGUCCACUGCGACAUCCUCCUCUGUUACCGAAUCUUGGGACGAGACCACUGCAUCAUCUCACUCUGUGAUUGAACUGAGCUCUUAUUUAUCAAGCAGUGUUGAAGAUGCUGAAAUGGCUUGGGUAGAAGUGAUCACCUUGAGUGAAAGUUGCAGCAGUGAAAUUGACUUAAUUUGCAAAUGUUUUGAAGAGCACAAAAGUGUCCCCUCUACGGAAGAAAAAUUGGAUGUGAAACCAAACCCGCUAGACAGUGAUGUGAGAUGUCAGAUGUUCUCACCCACUGUGAAUGAUGAAACGCUGUAUAGUGAAGCUGAAAAUGCAACUGGAGGAAGUAGACAAGUUCUUCAGAAACCAAAUAUUGUUGAUUUCAAAAGUGAAACGGGCAACAGUGGUGAUGACAAAUCAACAAGAGGUGCAACAUGUGUAUAUAUAACUUGAGUGAGGCACACUGGAGCACUGUGGUGGUUAAUACCUAUGAUGACAAUUGUGUGGAAAUUUACGGUUAAUCUCUACGGGAUGUGGCUGGUUUUUUACUGCAGGGAUACUUUUGUUUUGGGAAGUCCACCUUGAUGCACUGAAUGUGUUGCAAUGAAUAUGUCCCACAUGCAUGUGACAUACAUAACCAGGGAGGUUUUAUUUACAAUGCACGUUGGUUUUGGCUUCAAUGGGAGAGGAGUUUGUCUUUUUAUGUGUGGUGCUUGCGUGACAAACCUAACUCUAAAGGCAAAAGUUUAGAAAGUUUUCUAUCGAAAACAGAUCAGUUUGGAUGUGUCUUUAAACUUUGGUGUGUAACUUGAUACACCGUUUGUGCUACAGACACGAAUAAUGCCUCAAAUUGUGCAUCAAAUCAUCAAAAUCAAAUUGUACUCAGAGUGUGCUAUUACUUUUUUACAUGAUUGGUCUUCCCAGACAAUAAAACUGCAAAAAGAAAAAUGCUAUCCACCUUUUUCAUGAUGCUUUGCGCAAAGUAUGGGCGUUACUUCCAUUAGGUGGUAAACACAGUUGUCAUUCCAUCAUACGUCCAUUCAUUCUUUUGCUGCGGUGUUGGUAAUUCAUUAUUCAUACAUCUAGAUGUGGGAGCACAGCAUGACGGAACUUAAUUAGGACAAUAUAUGGAUACCCAUUCCUCCUUUUAUUAUAGGGUUGGGAGGACGAUUUAAAGAAGUGGUCUCGGGUAGUAUGUACAGCCUUGAAUCGCACAUGUUGACCAUGAGAUCCGUAAGGACAUCGUUAUGUCCUCCAGCCUAAACGACUUUAAUAAAGCAUAAUACAAUACUCAUUAAGACCUUGUUUACACCUGGUAUUAAGAUGUGUCUUGAGUGAUCCGAUCACAUGUGGUCAGGCGAGAUGGUGUUUAAACCUCAAAUGCGAGGUCAAGUGCUUUUUUUAACUAUCUCUGUGGUUUUGCACCCCAUUUGCACUACUUUAGUACUGACAACUUGUCAUCGGAUUAUCAGAAUCACAACUUAAUACCAGCUGCAAACAGGGUCUAUAAUGACUGCUGCCUAAGCUAGCGAAUGCUAUAGAACUUUUUCGCAGAAGUCGCUCCCACAUCCGUUUCCCCAGUAAGACCCCCCAGGAAAAAUGUGGAUAGAUACACAUUGAAGGAGUGACCUGAACCUUGGGCCUGUGAGCAACCAUCCAGAACACCCUAGUAAUCGGAACACCCUAACAGCUUCACAGCAACACUCUAAAAACCAUUCUGAAUGCCUUAUCAAAACAACGCUUUGACAACAACUCACAACAUGCUAGCACUGUGGCAGCAAGAUUGCAUGGGCAAGUACCACUCAUCUACUGUAGUUACAGUAUGUAUUCUUGUUUUGUGUCCUUUUUAUCUGAGAUAUGACCAGUAUAACUGGUUUUUCUUUCAAUUGGUUAGAAGUUGCCUCAAUUUCUGGAAGCGUGGAUGAUACUAUUGAUGAGGAAUUCAACUGACAACAGACCAAAGACAUGUAUCCCUUUAUUGAGACCAGUCGUUACCUUCAUUUCGCAUUCAACAUAUGCCUCCUGUCUCUGAGAAAGAGCCUUACUUGACUACGCCACCUGCUCGGACUGCCUAUAUUUACUGCUUAAAUAAGGACUGAUUUUCACACUUUGUCUUGCUUUAAGUUUUCAGCCUGUGUCUCUUGAUGUCUUUUGAGGUUUUUGCACCGUUUACACUUGCGUUCUCAUUGCUUUCAUAUCAUUUCCUGUACCAAAAAUGUUGUCAGCCCUUCAUUGGUUUUCCUCAAGUGUCUGAAGAGUUGAUUGACAGUUGAAAAGCAGUGCUCAGGGAACUCAUGAUUGAGUUUGUUAGAACCUCAGUGUUAUUGCAGUGUAGCACCAAAGUUACUGUGGUUUUUGUUUGAGUGAUAAGAUUGUCUGUUGUUUCUGAACUGUUUGUGCUUUUGUUUCUCUUUUCCUGUCAAAAAGAUCGUUGUGAAUGUUGUUUUAUUACAUUGUAUGCUAUAGAAUAUAAAUAUACAAUAAGAUACAGAUUAUUAUUAUACUGCAUAUGUAUUUUUAUAUAAUAUAGAUAGAUAUGUGUGUGUGUAUAUAUAUAUAUAUAUAUAUAUAAUUUGCGAGUUGAGUACUAAUUUUGAUUGUUGGAAUUAAAUAGGUUUAUUUUAAUAUUUUCUUUGUGAAAAUAAUAGGUCUUUUGACAAUAUAAUAAAUGCUGUUGAUUAAGAAAAUGGACUGAAAGCAGUUGGGAAUGGAAAUAGAAAUGUAUACCAGCCAUUACAUUUAAAGAAAACAGACUAAGCAAUACAAAUUUGAGGAACAUGCAUACAAAUAGUUCUAUUCAAUAUUGAAUUCCUAACCUAUAAAUGAAUAAGACAUAGCUCAUACAGUUUUAUAGAUGGGCUCCAAGAUAACUGGUUAAAAUAUUUUAGAGAAUUGACUUCAUCAUGUACAUGACAUGCUUUUGUUCUGUUUAUGUUUGUGAAUAAUAUUGUAUACAUAUUUUUGUUUAGAAGGGUCGUUGGGUUUAAUCGAAAUUAAAAGACAUUUUAUGUUGCAAACUUGAGACUGCACAUAAAUGCAUGAUUAAAAAAUAAAAAUAAUAAUGAUUUUAUUUCUUUAUACAACUAAUUUGUGUGGUUUGGUUCAGUAUCAAAUUAGUUGUCAAAUUUCAAUAAACAGUUUUUUUUUUCUCUCCAACCACAUAAGUUUGUAACAUUCUGAUUUUAAAUAAAAAUAUUUUUAAAUCUAAUGUUACAAAAAAAAAAAAAAUUAGUUUAACGCAUUUUAUGUUCAUGGGGUCGUUAGCAGUAAUAUUAAUAGUUCUACACACUUCAAAUAACAAACUCACUUAUAGACAUCAACCCCACCUGCUUAGCUGUCCACACAUCAUAACAUUUAUGACCUCAUCCAUCAUUUCAUCCCCUCAUGUUCUAUUACCAUGAAAUAAUGACCGUAGACAUAUAUUUUAUAGCCAA